GCUAGGGUUGAGGUUCUCAGAAGUAGUAGUCAUAAUUGGACUGGGAUUCUCCCCUUAGUUGGGUGAGAAGUAGUGGAUUCAUUAGAUGGGUCAGCAAUGUCUAUGCCACUAACUUAACCAAAAAAAUCACAGCACUAAUCACAAUAUUGGAAAGAGAGAAUGGAAUAAGCAAGCAAUCUCAACACAUAUCAAAAUGGAAGCAUAACAUUCAGAUUAAUGGGGCCAUUUAUCAGCUCAAAAAUUAAACAAAAUAAUAAAAGGUGUAGCUUCAAUAAAAAUAGCAGUCGUGGUGACCCAAUUAUAAAAGUUUAAAAUGUUGUAUUGAAGAGAAUGAGAAUAAAAACAAAUUCCAAUCAGACCAUAGGUUGUCUAUAUUAGCCUAUCGAAGCCAUAUGAAGAUGAGAGAGUGACCAAACAAGCUACUUAAUGUCGCACAAGGAAUAGCCUGAUCUGGGUCGAAGCACGAAGCAGAGUCAGACGACGUAGGGUGAAUCAUGAACUAGCCAGAGGCCUAGGAGACAAGCGACGAAGAUCAGAAGGGCUUUGACAAGUGUCGCGAUCCCUCCUAGGGCAUGAGGAGCAUCCGAAAAUUAGGUACAAUGAGUCAUAGGAGAUAGUUAGGUGUCGAAAUUGAUUAGGUUGUAAUUUAUCAAAUAAAUAAAUAAAAUUUGAUUAGGUUGUAGUUGGUGCUCUUUGAUUGGUGUUUGGUGAUGAUAAGACGAUGAUGGGUGCUAGGUUUAGAACCCUAAAGCUUUGAUACUAUGUUUGCUUUGAGGGUAAAUCAACUUUGAGAGUGAUAAUGAUAUCACUCCCUUUAUAUUAAUCAACCAAUUGUUACAAAGAAAGCCCAAAGGCCCUCAUGAAGGAAUUACAGAAUAAUCUAAGGAAACAAAUAAUAGGAAGAUUCUAACACAUUCUAACAUCUUCUACAGUGUCGUUGGGUUGCAUUGGAAUAAAUUGUGCGGUCUUUGUCAAACGGUACACCACUAUCCAAAUAACAUCAUUCCCUUGUAUGGUUCUCAGAAGUCCUAACUCUAUCGUGAUAUGCUCGCAUUUCCAUUCAGCUACUAGUAAUAAUUGUAAUAAUUGUAAUAAUCUAGCGGGUUUUUGAUGUUUGACCUUUACUUGUUGACAAGUCAAACAUCUCGAAAUGACAAGAAGGAUGCACUAUUAGAUUGGAAUGAUGAAACACUCUAAAAGUGUCAUCAUGACAAGACUCUAAUAGAAACAUCCUAUCCAUGUACCUCACUAUCAAAGUCAAAGUCUGAAUUGAUGGUCAAUCCCCAUUCCUCCUCACCCUUGGAAAUGCGGUCUCCAAUGGUCUUAGUCUCUACGUCGUGUUGUUGGGCCUCUAAAACUUUACUAACAAGAGUCAGCAGAGUAAUCAUGGUAAAUAACAUUGCAAUCUCUUAGAAUUCGCCAAGUGUAGAUCAAACUCGCUGAUAUUUCCAAACAUCUCCCGUUCUCGAAUGGCUACGCCACCUAGAUGACUAACGGAUUUCCUACUCAAAGCGUCAACAACUACAUUCGCCUUUCCCCGGUGAUAAUGCAAGUGAAAUUAUAAUCAGCCAUGAAUUCUACCCAUCUUUGACAUAGAUUAAGGUUCUUUUGUGAAAACAUGUUUUUCAAGCUCUUGUGGUUGAAAAACACUUCAAAUUUCUAGCCGUAAAGGUAUUGUCUCUCAAAAUCUUCAAGCAAAGCCACAAGCUCCAAGUUGUAAGUCAGGUAAUUCUUCUUGUGUGUCUUCAAUUGAUGUCAACACACAACCCAACUCAUCCCGUGACAAAUCACAAUAAAUUGUAUAACCCGAUCCUUGCUCUGGAAUAAUCAAGAUUGGUGCAGUUGGGAAUUCAUCGGGUCGGGUUUUUUUGUGUUUCGUGCGUGAAUUGUUUGAUUUUAAACUUAACUAUUUUGGUGAUACAAUUUCAUACUUUAACCCUGACAGUUUCAUCCUUUAGUAGUUUGGAUAGAGAGACAUUGUUUCAGUUUUUAUCCAACUUUGUUCUUUCAGUUACUGAGAUAUUGGUACAAUUAAUGUCCCAGUUUUGAGAAGCAUUAAUGUCCCAGUUAAAUCAUCAAGCAUUAAUCCCCUUAUUGAUUCUUUGAGUUCUCAAUUGAUUGAUUUCUGAUUUUUUAUGUUAAAGGAGUAUGUGGUAGAAGACAGAGAAGCUAAUAAGGAUUUCCAAGAACUUGAUCCCAGCCACAUCACGGAGCUAAGAAUGUUGGGCCUCUAUUAAGCUGAAAUUUGGUGUCUUCCCUGAUGUUGGGUCUGCCUUUCCUUGUGGUGAGCAGGGUUAUAUGUUUACAGCUUUGACAAUGAGAAACUCUACGUGUAAGCUGCAAAAUUGGUGUUCCUGUCAGCAAAGUUGUUUGAACCCGAUCUGGUCUGAGUUGCACUUUUUGUCAAGCACACACCAAUAUUAUGUGUAUUUUGAUUCUUUGUCACGUGCUUAUUUGUCAGUGUGGACAGACACUAUUUACCACUUUCUUUGUUUUCA
Camellia sinensis is the source of this 2498-nucleotide non-coding RNA. Lineage: Eukaryota; Viridiplantae; Streptophyta; Magnoliopsida; Ericales; Theaceae. The record is from RefSeq and is a predicted model, not a curated record.